This 905-nucleotide ribosomal RNA is filed under the name uncultured Bacteroidota bacterium. RNAcentral describes it as "bacterial SSU rRNA". It matches the Rfam family "Bacterial small subunit ribosomal RNA", at positions 92 to 989 of the family's 1533-position model. The record is from RNAcentral. Lineage: Bacteria; Pseudomonadati; Bacteroidota.
CGACCGGCGCACGGGUGCGUAACGCGUAUGCAAUCUGCCUUAUACAGAAGAAUAGCCCUGAGAAAUUAGGAUUAAUGCUUCAUGGUAAUAUGAUGUGGCAUCACAUUAUAUUUAAAACUCCGGUGGUAUAAGAUGGGCAUGCGUAUGAUUAGCUAGAUGGUGAGGUAACGGCUCACCAUGGCGACGAUCAUUAGGGGUCCUGAGAGGGUGAUCCCCCACACUGGUACUGAGACACGGACCAGACUCCUACGGGAGGCAGCAGUGAGGAAUAUUGGGCAAUGGAGGCAACUCUGACCCAGCCAUACCGCGUGAAGGACGACGGCCCUAUGGGUUGUAAACUUCUUUUAUAUGGGAGGAAUAAGGUCUACGAGUAGACUGAUGACAGUACCAUAUGAAUAAGCACCGGCUAACUCCGUGCCAGCAGCCGCGGUAAUACGGAGGGUGCAAGCGUUAUCCGGAUUUAUUGGGUUUAAAGGGUCCGUAGGCGGACUGGUAAGUCAGUGGUGAAAUCCUAUCGCUUAACGAUAGAACUGCCAUUGAAACUGCUAGUCUUGAAUUAUUUUGAAGUUGGCGGAAUGAGUAGUGUAGCGGUGAAAUGCAUAGAUAUUACUCAGAACACCGAUUGCGAAGGCAGCUGAACUAAGAAUAUACUUGACGCUGAUGGGACGAAAGCGUAGGUAGCGAACAGGAUUAGAUACCCUGGUAGUCUAACGCAGUAAAGCGAUGGAUACUCGUUGUCGGGAAAAUUGAGACUCGGUGGCUAAGCGAAAGUGAUAAGUAUCCCACCUGGGGAGUACGAUCCGACAAGAUUGAAACUCAAAGGAAUUGACGGGGGCCCGCACAAGCGGUGGAGCAUGCGGUUUAAUUCGAUGAUACGCGAGGAACCUUACCUGGGCUUAAAUGUA